RNAcentral lists this ribosomal RNA (253 nucleotides) under uncultured bacterium. Its description in RNAcentral is "partial 16S ribosomal RNA". It matches the Rfam family "Bacterial small subunit ribosomal RNA", at positions 524 to 776 of the family's 1533-position model. The record is from RNAcentral.
UACGUAGGUGGCAAGCGUUGUCCGGAUUUAUUGGGUUUAAAGGGUGCGUAGGCGGCUUUGUAAGUCAGUGGUGAAAUAUGGCAGCUCAACUGUCAGGGUGCCAUUGAUACUGCGGAGCUUGAGUACAGAUGAGGUAGGCGGAAUUGACGGUGUAGCGGUGAAAUGCUUAGAUAUCGUCAAGAACACCGAUAGCGAAGGCGGCAUCCUGGACCGAUACUGACGCUGAGGAGCGAAAGCCAGGGGAGCAAACGGG